CUCUCUCUUCUAUCUCUUUCUCACGAUUUCACUCUAUGUACCGCCGCCUAGAGCCGCUGCGCCGCGCCUCCUAGCGCCGCCGUUGCCGGCGGUGCCUCGCUGGAGUUCGCCGCCGCCUCCCCGACCGCCGGUCGCUGAGCCGGGACUCGCUGCCGCGGUGCGUCGCCAUCCCAGACCGAGCCGAGCAAAAGAGCAGAGGAGGAAGAAGAAGGCGGAGCCGAGCCGCUGACAGGCUGACCCCAUGCCCCUUUUACCUCCAUCCCCCACUGACAAGCCGGGCCCGCGCAUCCUUCCUCCCAUCCAUCGCCGAUAGGUGGGUCCCCUCUUCUGCCGUCCCAGCUAACGGAAUAUUCCAACGGAAUAUUCCCUUACCGUCCAAAAAUUGUUAUUCCAGAAAAUUCUUUUAUUCUUUAGAAAUUCGUAGAAAAUCAACCGUAACUCCGAUUGACCCCGUUCAAGUUCCUAAAUUUUUCUAAAAUUGAAAUCUACACAGUGCCACUAUUGUUUCUCUGAUUUGAGCUAGAUUUAUUGGCUUUUCUUAAUUAGCUUUGUUUCCACGUUUAGAGCCUAAGUACGAGGAAGCUUCGGACGCCGCUUUCGAGGGAGAAGACCCGCACCCUGUGCAAGGCAAGCCUCUUUGAUCACAUUACCCCUAUAUUUUCAAUGAUACAUUGUUUGCAAAAAUGCAUUAUUUAGUUUACACGAUUAACAUGUUAGGCCUCGGAUUGUUUAUUCAACCAAUGGACCAACCUAGUAGUCGUACUUAUAUUUCAUAGGUUGAUGAUUCCAUACAUUUGAUAGCUCCACAAAUAUUUGUGCCGGUAUUGUUAUACGAUUACCGAGGUUUUGCCAUGUGGGAAACUUGGGUUAUUCCAAAUACAUGUUUAAAAAUCCGGUACGUUGUACUGAGUAGUUGUGAAAUAAAAUGUGUUGUGAAAGUGGUGAUGAUGCGGAGUCAUGCCUUUGUGGUUUGGCUACGUAUUGUCGUUAAGGACCAAUUCCUUUGGGAAAUCCAUCCAAACACGUUACAGUGCGACCACACGGGUAUUUAUGGGAUGCCUCUGGCUAAGUAAAUUGUUAUCACAUGGGAGUUGGUGUGCCAAUGGUUGUGGGAUGCCGAGGAUGAGGAGACGAAGUGUUACACAUUUUUGCCCAUCAUGGGUGUCUUUUUGCUUCUAUUGUGGCGUGGUACCAGUAGGAGUAGGAGGCAUCCUCAGUAUUUCCUGAGUGGAUGACGGCUAUCAUUGCCUGAUACUCGGCUAUGGAUCUUAGCCCAACUAGGUGGCAUGCGAUUUUCAUGGGUUAGCUUUGGAAAGGCCUUAUCACGAACUUUCAUUGCCGACGGGUAAACGAUGUCAGUUUCGUCUCGUGUGGGUAAAGCGUGCAACCUCUGCAGAGAUUAAUGAACUGUUCGAACAGCCGUGCCCACGGUCAAGGGCAAGUGUAAGGUGUUUCUCAUAGCGUAGAUUUGUUUGACAAAUGUUUGUGAAGAAGUGGUUAUUGGGAAGGGUAACGUUUCCAGAGUCCGCCUGUGUGGCAGACGGCUAACCUGGGUGGUUAGCAACGGGUCUAUGUGACCUGGGGUGUCGUCCGACACCGAGGUGUUGUUAGGGCCUUGAUGGCGUUGUUGUGCUGAGAUGUCUGUGUGGACUAUGUGUUGUUGUGAAAGUGAGAAGAAGCUAAUAGAAGAAACAAAUUAAUUGUUGUUCGUUAAUCGUGACAAGUUGUUGCAAAGCAACUUGUGAAAUGGGUCGAGGCGUGAGCCUCCUCCCGACAACUAAAACUUGACUCACUCAUUAGGAGUUUUGUGAAAUAAAUCACUUUGCCAAAAAAGCAGCUUUCGCAAAUAAAAGCCUAGCCUCCUUGUUAAACCGACAUGUCAUUCUUUCCCCUGGCUUGCUGAGUACGUUAAGUACUCACCCUUGCCCCUUAUAAUAAUCUAUAGUGUAUGAAGAUGAAGACAUCGUCCCAACCGCCGAGGAGUAUCUCCAGGAGUUAGCCGAGUAUGAAGACUUUGUUGGUAUUUCUUACGACCACAGAACAGGACUCUGGGGAUUCCUUAUGUGAGCAUGAAUCCUGGGGGGUUUUGAAAGAGAAACUUUCAUGCUCAUAUGUGGAAUGUUUU
Molecule: long non-coding RNA, 2125 nt
Filed under: Oryza sativa (Asian cultivated rice)
Lineage: Eukaryota; Viridiplantae; Streptophyta; Magnoliopsida; Poales; Poaceae
Description: long non-coding RNA (OSAT_LNC001830)
Source: RNAcentral